Mauremys mutica (yellowpond turtle) is the source of this 1903-nucleotide long non-coding RNA. RefSeq lists it as uncharacterized. The transcript has 3 exons. The record is from RefSeq and is a predicted model, not a curated record. NCBI's taxonomy places the organism in Eukaryota, Metazoa, Chordata, Testudines, Geoemydidae.
GUAGGGAGCUGAGGGAUGUCAGUUGAGAGAAGAAGGUCUAAGAGGGCGUCCUGUGAUUGGGAAGGACCUGGAGAAAGUAGCACUUUCCUGCAGAGAGAAAUACAAAGGGGGCAGGUCUCAGCCAUGGAAGACCUGGUAAGUGGCCGAUGGCCACCAGGAGGUACUGGAGCUGAGGAUAAGAGCAAUGUUAUGCCCUGAUACAUGGGGCUGUUUCAAAGACAGAAACAUAAAAAAGAAAUGAGAAAAGAAGAUAAAGUAUGAAGAGCUCUGCCAUGAAGUGGAACAAUUAUGGAAAACCAGAACAAACACGAUCCUGCUGAUUAUUGGAGCAUGUGGAGUGAUCCCCAAGGGUAUGAAUGAGUAGCUCAAGAAUACAUGAGGAACACAAGACGUCAUGAUGAGAGACCUCCAGAAGUCAACACUCUUAGGCACUGUGAGAAUUUUAAGAAAACUAAAAGAGGAACCUUAAAAUGAAAGAAUUUUUUGGAGAGUUACAAAACUCCUGACUACUCAACCCUACAGAGUCGAUUUGUGAUCAGGAUUUAUUGGUGACUCAUGGGGAUAAAUUUUAGACAGUAGCUUUCCUCUUUUUAUGCUAAAAGAUCAUGUCUGUAUGAAGACUAUUUGUGUGUGUGUGUAAACUAUUUCUCCAUGAUGUAAUACUGAGGGAUAACAGCUACCUUACACAAGCAGUCUAACUGAAUGCAGUGACCACACUGUCAUUAGUAAAGCGCGCAGGAUUUGGUACUUAAAGUAUACUGCAAGGAAUAACAAUAAACAAAAGUAAGGGAAAGGUGAAUAGGAGGACAGAGCAAAGAUUGUAAGUGUAUUGUUCAUGCUCAUUUUUAGGCACAAAUCUUGUUACUUUCCUUUCCCCCUGGUUUUCAUUUUUUAAUCUUUGUUAGUUUAAUAAAAAUUAGGAAGAAAGCUGGCAUAGAGGGAGGGGAUGGAGUUAGGGAAGCCUAAUAAGAAGAAUGAGUUCUGAGGAGACAUUUGAAGGGGGUAGUGAGAUGGCAUUGCACACAGGGUCAGGGAAGAGAUACAAGAGAGAAAAUAUCUUGCUGUUAAAUCAGUGCCAAAAGAUGAUACUAUCCAAGGAGUGAAAGCAACCUAGUCGGCUCCAUAACAGUCUGUUUUUAACAUAACCCUACAGGCAGUACUAACCCCCCACUUUCUUCCUCCCAGACCCUGCACACACCCUCAGCAGUCAGUAUUGAAAACAACUACAUUGCUACCAGUGAAUCCAUACAAAGGACCAGCCACAGGCCUUGAUGCCACUGCUGGAAGAAUAUAUAUUUCAACAUUUGACAUCUUGCUCUAGCAGCUGCCAAGUUUGGCUAUAGCUAUUGACCUGAUUGCUCAAGGACAUAGAGGAGGAAGAAAAAGGGCAAUGUAAGCAAGUGACAGUAAGAGAUUCAUGUAUCAAAAGCAUCCCUGUAAACAUGAGUCUAUAACUGGGAGAUAGGCUGUUAUUUUGGAAAGUAAAAAUUGUAUAAAUAUAAAACUGGAUAUGCUUGAGUGUUAAAGAGUUUUAAUUGAAAAUGGCUCUGAAUGAAAAAUUAUCAUUUUGAGUUUUUGCAUGUUCACCAAGAUUAUUCAAUAUACUUGAGAAUUUGCUAACUGGUUUUGCAUGGUUCGUUGUCAAUAAUUUUCAGUCUCUCAGCAACUGACAAAAUAUCACAAUUUUCAGAGCACAAAAUUAUGCCACACUAUCUCAUGAAAAAUUUCAUACAAUCUUACACCAUCAUUUUGCACCAAUUUUGCCCAGCUCUAUUUGAAAGCAAGGAGCUUUUACCAUUUUCAAUUGCCAGUGCAUUUCAUAGAUCUUUAAAACAGAAUUGUAGAAUCAGCAUGAUGUUUGCAAAGCAUCAUUCUGUUCACUUUGCAAACAUGUUAUAUCUCU